AAUCGGCGUACAGCAAAGGGGACGUGUCCCCAACGUGGUGCCGAGAGGAAUGAGCCUCAGCAACAGCGGCUAUAUGCCGGAACGCUGAAAAAACAAGUGAUGGGUAGAGUUUGGUAGGUUUUUUCUCGAAGAACUCGGACCCA
This 143-nucleotide non-coding RNA is filed under the name unclassified sequences. The record is from Rfam.